UGCAAGUCGACGGCAGCACGAGAGAGCUUGCUCUCUUGGUGGCGAGUGGCGGACGGGUGAGGAAUACAUCGGAAUCUACCUUUUGGUGGGGGAUAACGUAGGGAAACUUACGCUAAUACCGCAUACGCCCUUCGGGGGAAAGCCGGGGACCUUCGGGCCUGGCGCUGAUAGAUGAGCCGAUGUCGGAUUAGCUAGUUGGUGAGGUAAUGGCUCACCAAGGCGACGAUCCGUAGCUGGUCUGAGAGGAUGAUCAGCCACACUGGAACUGAGACACGGUCCAGACUCCUACGGGAGGCAGCAGUGGGGAAUAUUGGACAAUGGGCGCAAGCCUGAUCCAGCCAUACCGCGUGGGUGAAGAAGGCCUUCGGGUUGUAAAGCCCUUUUGUUGGGAAAGAAAAGCGAUCGGUUAAUACCCGGUUGUUCUGACGGUACCCAAAGAAUAAGCACCGGCUAACUUCGUGCCAGCAGCCGCGGUAAUACGAAGGGUGCAAGCGUUACUCGGAAUUACUGGGCGUAAAGCGUGCGUAGGUGGUGGUUUAAGUCCGUUGUGAAAGCCCUGGGCUCAACCUGGGAAUUGCAGUGGAUACUGGGUCACUAGAGUGUGGUAGAGGAUAGUGGAAUUUCCGGUGUAGCAGUGAAAUGCGUAGAGAUCGGAAGGAACAUCUGUGGCGAAGGCGACUAUCUGGGCCAACACUGACACUGAGGCACGAAAGCGUGGGGAGCAAACAGGA
RNAcentral lists this ribosomal RNA (731 nucleotides) under Pseudoxanthomonas sp. A88T3. Its description in RNAcentral is "bacterial SSU rRNA". It matches the Rfam family "Bacterial small subunit ribosomal RNA", at positions 56 to 777 of the family's 1533-position model. Lineage: Bacteria; Pseudomonadati; Pseudomonadota; Gammaproteobacteria; Lysobacterales; Lysobacteraceae. The record is from RNAcentral.